GACGAACGCUGGCGGCGUGCUUAACACAUGCAAGUCGAACGGAAAGGCCCUGCUUUUGUGGGGUGCUCGAUUGGCGAACGGGUGAGUAACACGUGAGUAACCUGCCCUUGACUUUGGGAUAACUUCAGGAAACUGGGGCUAAUACCGGAUAGGAGCUCCUGCUGCAUGGUGGGGGUUGGAAAGUUUCGGCGGUUGGGGAUGGACUCGCGGCUUAUCAGCUUGUUGGUGGGGUAGUGGCUUACCAAGGCUUUGACGGGUAGCCGGCCUGAGAGGGUGACCGGCCACAUUGGGCCUGAGAUACGGCCCAGACUCCUACGGGAGGCAGCGGUGGGGAAUAUUGCACAAUGGGCGGAAGCCUGAUGCAGCAACGCCGCGUGCGGGAUGACGGCCUUCGGGUUGUAAACCGCUUUCGCCUGUGACGAAGCGUGAGUGACGGUAAUGGGUAAAGAAGCACCGGCUAACUACGUG
This 468-nucleotide ribosomal RNA is filed under the name uncultured bacterium. RNAcentral describes it as "partial 16S ribosomal RNA". It matches the Rfam family "Bacterial small subunit ribosomal RNA", at positions 28 to 507 of the family's 1533-position model. The record is from RNAcentral.